This 661-nucleotide ribosomal RNA is filed under the name Stegaspis fronditia. RNAcentral describes it as "SSU rRNA". It matches the Rfam family "Eukaryotic small subunit ribosomal RNA", at positions 674 to 1280 of the family's 1831-position model. The record is from RNAcentral. Lineage: Eukaryota; Metazoa; Arthropoda; Insecta; Hemiptera; Membracidae.
GACGUCCUGCCGGUGGCGGUCCGGGCUUUCGGGUAUGUGUAGGUUCUACCGAAGCAUCCCGAUAGUUCCGGCCGCCGAUCCAAUCCCGCCGCGGUGCUCUUAACUGAGUGUCGAGGUGGGCCGGCACGUUUACUUUGAACAAAUUAGAGUGCUUAAAGCAGGCUGAUUUCCGCCUGAAUACUGUGUGCAUGGAAUAAUGGAAUAGGACUUCGGUUCUAUUUUGUUGGUUUUAAGAAUCCGAAGUAAUGAUUAAUAGGGACAGGCGGGGGCAUUCGUAUUGCGACGUUAGAGGUGAAAUUCUUGGAUCGUCGCAAGACGUACCUAAGCGAAAGCAUUUGCCAAGUAUGUCCUCGUUAAUCAAGAACGAAAGUUAGAGGUUCGAAGGCGAUCAGAUACCGCCCUAGUUCUAACCAUAAACGAUGCCAGCCAGCGAUCCGCCAAAGUUCCUCCGAUGACUUGGCGGGCAGCUUCCGGGAAACCAAAGCUUUUGGGUUCCGGGGGAAGUAUGGUUGCAAAGCUGAAACUUAAAGGAAUUGACGGAAGGGCACCACCAGGAGUGGAGCCUGCGGCUUAAUUUGACUCAACACGGGAAACCUCACCAGGCCCGGACACCGGAAGGAUUGACAGAUUGAUAGCUCUUUCUUGAUUCGGUGGGUGGUGG